GACGAACGCUGGCGGCGUGCUUAACACAUGCAAGUCGAACGGAAAGGCCCUGCUUGCAGGGUACUCGAGUGGCGAACGGGUGAGUAACACGUGGGUGAUCUGCCCUGCACUUCGGGAUAAGCCUGGGAAACUGGGUCUAAUACCGGCUAGGAGCCAUUUUUAGUGUGAUGGUUGGAAAGUUUUUUCGGUUUUGGAUGAGCUCGCGGCCUAUCAGCUUGUUGGGGGGGUAAUGGCCUACCAAGGCGGCGACGGGUAGCCGGCCUGAGAGGGUGGACGGCCACAUUGGGACUGAGAGACGGCCCAGACUCCUACGGGAGGCAGCAGUGGGGAAGAUUGCACAAUGGGCGCAAGCCUGAUGCAGCGACGCCGCGUGGGGGAUGACGGCCUUCGGGUUGUAAACUCCUUUCGCUAGGGACGAAGCUUUUUGUGACGGUACCUAGAUAAGAAGCACCGGCUAACUACGUG
This 465-nucleotide ribosomal RNA is filed under the name uncultured bacterium. RNAcentral describes it as "partial 16S ribosomal RNA". It matches the Rfam family "Bacterial small subunit ribosomal RNA", at positions 28 to 507 of the family's 1533-position model. The record is from RNAcentral.